Molecule: ribosomal RNA, 450 nt
Filed under: uncultured Glomus
Lineage: Eukaryota; Fungi; Glomeromycota; Glomeromycetes; Glomerales; Glomeraceae
Description: SSU rRNA
Rfam family: Eukaryotic small subunit ribosomal RNA
Source: RNAcentral
AGCAGCCGCGGUAAUUCCAGCUCCAAUAGCGUAUAUUAAAGUUGUUGCAGUUAAAAAGCUCGUAGUUGAAUUUCGGGGUUAGUAGGUUGGUCAUGCCUCCGGUAUGUACUGGUCUCACUGAUUCCUCCUUCCUGAUGAACCGUAAUGCCAUUAAUUUGGUGUUGCGGGGAAUUUGGACUGUUACUUUGAAAAAUUAGAGUGUUUAAAGCAAGCUAACGCUUGAAUACAUUAGCAUGGAAUAAUGAAAUAGGACGUUCGAUCCUAUUUUGUUGGUUUCUAGGAUUGACGUAAUGAUUAAUAGGGAUAGUUGGGGGCAUUAGUAUUCAAUUGUCAGAGGUGAAAUUCUUGGAUUUAUUGAAGACUAACUACUGCGAAAGCAUUUGCCAAGGAUGUUUUCAUUAAUCAAGAACGAAAGUUAGGGGAUCGAAGACGAUCAGAUACCGUCGUAGU